This 303-nucleotide unclassified non-coding RNA is filed under the name Hevea brasiliensis (rubber tree). The record is from RNAcentral. Lineage: Eukaryota; Viridiplantae; Streptophyta; Magnoliopsida; Malpighiales; Euphorbiaceae.
GGCGGUCAAGACGGCGGUGACCCAACUCAAUACGCCGAAGACCUAAUCGACGUCGAUGUGGCUCUGACUGCUCCUGCCGACAUCAGUGUGACCAUUGGCGGCGGCCCCGCGACCACGAAGAGCGCCGUGUCCGCUGGCAUCAGCCACUUCCAGGUCCCCUUCAACGGCCAGACCGGCCAGGUUGUGUACACAGUCCGCCGCAAUGGCGCCACCGUCAUGACCGUGCAGGGCAUCCAGAUCUCCUCAGACUGCACCACCGUCAACUGGAACGCAGUCACCGGCUCCCAGACAGCACCAUCCUCG